This 492-nucleotide ribosomal RNA is filed under the name uncultured bacterium. Its description in RNAcentral is "bacterial SSU rRNA". It matches the Rfam family "Bacterial small subunit ribosomal RNA", at positions 15 to 518 of the family's 1533-position model. The record is from RNAcentral.
GAUUCUGGCUCAGGAUGAACGCUGGCGGCGUGCUUAACACAUGCAAGUCGAACGGAGUUACAUGAAACCUAGUGAUUGUAAACUUAGUGGCGGACGGGUGAGUAACGCGUGGGUAACCUGCCGUAUACCGGGGGAUAACACUUAGAAAUAGGUGCUAAUACCGCAUAAGCGCACAUGAUCGCAUGAUCGAGUGUGAAAAACUCCGGUGGUAUACGAUGGACCCGCGUCUGAUUAGAUAGUUGGUGAGGUAACGGCCCACCAAGUCAACGAUCAGUAGCCGGCCUGAGAGGGUGAACGGCCACAUUGGGACUGAGACACGGCCCAAACUCCUACGGGAGGCAGCAGUGGGGAAUAUUGGACAAUGGGGGCAAUCCUGAAUCCAGCGACGCCGCGUGAGUGAAGAAGUAUUUCGGUAUGUAAAGCUCUAUCAGCAGGGAAGAAAAUGACGGUACCUGACUAAGAAGCCCCGGCUAACUACGUGCCAGCCGCCGC